CCAACCUAUGCAGGCACGCAGCAGAACACAAUAUGGUGUUAGCAACUCUCUCCCCUUGCCCCCACUGUCACAAUCAUGCAGUUGGGUUUCCCACAUUUGGAGAAAUCACAGGGGUCAGCACAUCUGGAGUGCAAUGGAUAAGCCUCGCCCUGGGAAGACCACCUUUCAUGAUCAUGGUAUCUCCCUUGCCAGUGCCUGGUAUAAAAUUACCUGCAGAGGAAAACUUGAUGUCAGCCACUGCUUCCGAAUUCUCAAGUCCUUCUUUUAAUGUGAUGUCUUCAGCAACAAGAGGAGGAAAUUCUGCCAUUCGCUCUUUUCCACCCAUUGGAACCUUUCAUUGAGAUAAAAUGAAGAUGUUUGGAAGUACAAAUUAAAUUCCCUAUAGCGCUAAUAUAAAGUAAAGCACUGACAAAGGUAAUUUUGUACAUGAUCAAGAAUAAAAUCCUUUUAAACAUUAA
Long non-coding RNA from Pipistrellus kuhlii (Kuhl's pipistrelle), 458 nucleotides. RefSeq lists it as uncharacterized. The transcript is spliced from 2 exons. The record is from RefSeq and is a predicted model, not a curated record. Lineage: Eukaryota; Metazoa; Chordata; Mammalia; Chiroptera; Vespertilionidae.